AAACUCUAAAUUCUCAUAAUCGUCUCGGCUAUUGAAGAAUAAACAUCUUUGAGCAUAAAAAAAAAACCUUCACAAACUUUUUUUGAUAACCUACUUCCGUAAACAGGCUAUACACGAAAAUGUGUAAUCCUUGCUUGCGUUCAAUGCCUGGCACCUGUUGCGGCCCAACAGGUGGGCUGGGCCCAUGCGGCUUCUGCGGGCCCUACAACGGACAGUGGUUUAGGGCAGUCAACCACUGUUGCGGUCCGAUAGGACCAUAUGGUUGUUGCUCCUGCUAUGGACCCUUUGGUGGCCACUGCUAGCCUGGUUAGAAGGAAAGUAGGUUUCAAAAACUGGUCGAGGCAGAGGACGCAUAUCACAAUAAUUCCACGCUGACUGACACUGCUUUCACUUGUGACCCGUAACUCUCAAACCAGUAACGGAUUAUCUAUUACAAAAUGCAAAAUGUUUGUCCAAAUAAAUUUUACGUCAGUUUUAAA
Molecule: long non-coding RNA, 479 nt
Organism: Drosophila arizonae
Lineage: Eukaryota; Metazoa; Arthropoda; Insecta; Diptera; Drosophilidae
Source: RefSeq, a predicted model, not a curated record